AACGAACGCUGGCGGCAUGCCUAACACAUGCAAGUCGAACGAGACCUUCGGGUCUAGUGGCGCACGGGUGCGUAACGCGUGGGAACCUGCCCUUAGGUUCGGAAUAACUCCCCGAAAGGGGUGCUAAUACCGGAUAAUGUCUUCGGACCAAAGAUUUAUCGCCUUUGGAUGGGCCCGCGUUGGAUUAGCUAGUUGGUAGGGUAAAAGCCUACCAAGGCGACGAUCCAUAGCUGGUCUGAGAGGAUGAUCAGCCACACUGGGACUGAGACACGGCCCAGACUCCUACGGGAGGCAGCAGAGGGGAAUAUUGGACAAUGGGCGAGAGCCUGAUCCAGCAAUGCCGCGUGAGUGAUGAAGGCCUUAGGGUUGUAAAGCUCUUUUACCCGGGAUGAUAAUGACAGUACCGGGAGAAUAAGCUCCGGCUAACUCCGU
This 432-nucleotide ribosomal RNA is filed under the name uncultured bacterium. RNAcentral describes it as "partial 16S ribosomal RNA". It matches the Rfam family "Bacterial small subunit ribosomal RNA", at positions 29 to 506 of the family's 1533-position model. The record is from RNAcentral.